CAGAUACCUUUUGAUACUGUUGCUAAUCCACAUCUUCCUACCUGGGUAGUUCCUCCUGCUUCAGUGUGUUCAUUCAUGUCAUUUGGACCACCUGAGAAAUAAAAUGCUACUCACGGGCAGGAAAGGGUGACUGAAACCUGCCCAAAUCUGUCCCAAGCAUUUCUGUAGGAUCAUUGUUUGUUUUAACUAGUAAGAAUGAAUACAUUUGGCUGCACAGUAAAAGCCUUUUCUUUCCAAAGUGGAAUAGAACUAGUAUUCUAACUAUAUCCUUUUUUGCCUUAUUAGAAUUCAGCAUUUUAUUUAGUUCAAAAGGAAGAGGUAGAUAAUCUUUGACUGUUCAAAAUGCUUGUUUUAUUCAUAGAGUGUGACAGAGUUUGACGCUAGUUACAGAAUUUGGGCUUGUUUUAAUGGAGAUUUUGCUGUAUAGAAUUGUGUUUAGUACACAGAAGAUUAAUUUUGUAAGAUCAUUUGUUGACUGCGUUAGUAAGGUGCUUCAUUUAAUCUAUGUACGAGAAAAAGUAUUUUUAAAGAUGCUUCAGAAUGCUCCAAACGUUUCUGUUAACUCUUCAGUGUGAACUGAAGCCCUGCGUGUGUGAGAAGGGAAGUCCUGGACUACCAGGCCCUCCUGGUGAGGAAAGAGAACGUGGAAAAAAAAGGUCAAGAGGUAUGCAUGUUUCCUUCUUUAAGAAUAACAUUUUUUUUUCAGUUUGGCACAGAUGUUUCAUACCCUCAGUUAUACUAAACUAAAUCUUUGUUGGAAAAAAAAUCUAUGUUCAGAAUAGCUGUUCUUAAUAUGCCUUGUGGCUGAUGAUGUCCUUAAAUACUCUCUUGACUUGGAACAGUACUGACAACAGGAAAGUUUGAAGUAACAGUGUAGGCUGUUUACUUGUGACAGAAACACAAGCAGAAUUUUUCAGGGAGGAAUGAGGGGCGACUGCUUCCUAUAGGACAAGUUGUUGGGAGCUGAGGGUGAUGAUCCAUCCAGCAAGUCAAGGGCCUCACCAGCCAGGGCCUGUCCCACAGUCGCUCAGUGAGCAUAGCAGGGCAGGCCUCAGUGGCAGCUGAGGUCAGCCAAGAGUCCCAUCAGCAGCCAAGUCCAUAGUGAUGAGGCAGGUCUGAGGUGAAGCAGGAAGGCUAGUCAAGGUCAGGAUCAGGUCUGGUGAUGGUAACCGGGAUCAGCCACAGCCCAGUGGUUGUCAGGCAAGUCCGUAGUGACGAGGCAAGUCCGAGGUCAAGCUGUGAAAUCAAUCCACAGUCAGGGUGUAGGUCCAGGUCAGUGGGUUCCUGCCAGGCAUGGGCAGGGCUGUGACACAGUGAGAGCUAUAGUUCAGGCAGGGCCAAACUCUAGAGCCUCAGCUAAAGCAGCUCCUGUGGGCUGGUGAGUCUCCCCGCAGCACCGCCCAGGUGCCUCUCCCCAGAGUCACCAGAGGCAAGGGGGGCUGGCCUCAGCUGCACGGUCUCUAAGCCGACCUUGGACCAACCAGGCAGCCAGACCUCCAGGAGGGGGGAUGCUCUCAGAGCCCUUACAGAAUUAAGGAUUACAUCAGUCUUAUCUAAGUAAGUUUUCCAUGUAUUUCCAUCCCGUAAUGCUAACAUUCCCCCAAUUUGAACUCCUGAAGAG
This is a long non-coding RNA of Struthio camelus australis, 1621 nucleotides long. The record is from Ensembl. Lineage: Eukaryota; Metazoa; Chordata; Aves; Struthioniformes; Struthionidae.